GUUCUUCCUUCAGCAGCACAUAGACUAAAAUUGGAACAAUACAGAGAAGACUAGUGUGGCCCCUGAACAAGGAUGACAUGCAAAUUCGUGAAGUAGUCCAUAUUUUU
Molossus molossus (Pallas's mastiff bat) is the source of this 107-nucleotide small nuclear RNA. Lineage: Eukaryota; Metazoa; Chordata; Mammalia; Chiroptera; Molossidae. The record is from RefSeq and is a predicted model, not a curated record.